RNAcentral lists this unclassified non-coding RNA (239 nucleotides) under Hevea brasiliensis (rubber tree). The record is from RNAcentral. Lineage: Eukaryota; Viridiplantae; Streptophyta; Magnoliopsida; Malpighiales; Euphorbiaceae.
GACCCUUCUGCAGUUGGUCCGGACCUCACCCAGGGAAGGGUCAGUGACAGGGGAGAGGUUGCCCAUGUUGAUCAUGGACUGCGCGAAGCUGCGGAAGAAGGCGGCCUGGCUGGUGGCGAAGCGGUCGACGAUGGGCGCCGUCGUCCCGGUCGCCUCCGGCGCCGACUUGAGCUCCUGGUCCGACUGGAGGAAGCCGCGGUUGACCUCGAUGUUGGUGUAGUAGUGGUUGUCGAAGGUGU